RNAcentral lists this non-coding RNA (21 nucleotides) under Caenorhabditis elegans. The record is from RNAcentral. Lineage: Eukaryota; Metazoa; Nematoda; Chromadorea; Rhabditida; Rhabditidae.
UAUGAUAUUUUCUCUCCCUCU